UGCAAAGUUGUUUGAAGUGCAAGGUGUC
Molecule: non-coding RNA, 28 nt
Filed under: Mus musculus (house mouse)
Lineage: Eukaryota; Metazoa; Chordata; Mammalia; Rodentia; Muridae
Source: RNAcentral